UUAACUUUAGUUUUUAGGUUCUAUGAUAAGUUUUAAGUAGAUUAAAUAUAUUAUUCUUUUUCAAUAUUUUAUGUUUGGUUUAAUUUAGAAAAUUAGUAUUCUUAUAAGAUCUAGAUCUCUUAUGUCAGUGUCCCAAUAGAGUGCCAGCAGGCGUGGUUAGACUGAACACUGAAUCUUAUCUCAUCUAAUUUAUGUAUUUUAUUCUAAUCUUGACAGGUAAAAUUGGAUAAGAUUAGCAUCUAUUUGUUUUAUUUAAUUUGGUUAAAAGACAAGGAUUAGAUACCCUUUUAUUUCCAAUGAUAGUUUUGUGAUUAUUAACAUUAAAAUUCAAUAAACUUGGCGGUAGAAAAAGAACUCAGAGAAACCUAGACAUUAAUUGGAUGAUCCACCAUAAUUAUUUCUUAAAGUAUGUUUCUCCUGUAUGUCUGUUUUGUAAAUUGUUACAUCUAUUUACUAUAUUAUUUUAUAAUUCAAUUCAGGUCAAUAUAGGGAUGUCUUUAAGUUGCUCCGGGUUGCAUUAUAGUUUUAGUGGUAGUUUUAAAUUUCUGCCUAAUCUGGAUUUGAAAGUAAAUUGAAUUUUAUUCAUUUGAAUGCUUUUUUUCUAAGUACAAAUCGCCCGUCACCUCUAUUACAAAAUAAAUUGAGUAAGUCGUAACAAAGUAGGCCGGCUGGAAGGGUGGCCUGAA
This 686-nucleotide non-coding RNA is filed under the name Proales similis. The record is from RNAcentral. Lineage: Eukaryota; Metazoa; Rotifera; Eurotatoria; Ploima; Proalidae.